GGAAGGUGCAAGCGUUAAUCGGGAAUUACUGGGGCGUAAAGCGCGCGUAGGCGGCUAGAUAAGUCGGGUGUGAAAGCCCUGGGGCUCAACCUGGGGAACUGCAUUCGAUACUGUCUAGCUAGAGUGUGGUAGAGGGAGGCGGAAUUCCGCAUGUAGCGGUGAAAUGCGUAGAGAUGCGGAGGAACACCAAUGGCGAAGGCAGCCUUCUGGACCAACACUGACGCUGAGGCGCGAAAGCGUGGGGAGCAAACAGGAUUAGAUACCCUGGUAGUCCACGCCGUAAACGAUGUCAACUAGCCGUUGGGAGCAAUUUGGUUCUUGGUGGCGCAGCUAGCGCGAUAAGUUGACCGCCUGGGGAGUACGGUCGCAAGAUUA
Molecule: ribosomal RNA, 375 nt
Filed under: uncultured organism
Description: partial 16S ribosomal RNA
Rfam family: Bacterial small subunit ribosomal RNA
Source: RNAcentral